GGUGCUGCUUUUUCAUUCUUUUUUAUUAGUGACAUGCAGACAUGCAUGGAAACACACAGGUUAUGUAAGCGUGUCCUGUGUAACUGCUGGUUGGGUUGUGGUUAGUUCUCUCACAGGUGUGUCGAUUGUGAGCGGUCAGGGUUACUCAAGCUCUUCCUGUUGAACUCUCUGCUCGAGUCAGGGCUUUAGUCUCUCCAUCAUGAGCUGCUUAUCUGCUUCUCUUCAUGUCUCCAGCUUCGCUCAUCUGUCACUCUCCUCCACAGCCAAUAAAUAACACUGAUAUCAGGUAGCCGCGGUGUCUAUUUGAGUGGGAUAGAUUGGACAUAUUCAAGAAUUUGAAGGGAAUCCUCUUUGAUACUUCGAUGCAACACAUGCGAGAGCUCCAUUAAGUCUGAGCACUGAAAGAGCGCUUCCUCUGCAGGUGUGUGAGUUCUGAACGCCGCUCUGUUGCGUGUGCACUUAAAAGAGGCGGAUUGAUCUAAACCUGUAGUGAGGAGCUCAAUAAUCUCGUCUCUAAAAGACUCCGUGUGGACGCCCCCAGCGGACAGCCUGCGUCCCGUGGCAGCCUGAUUGGAUCCCCGCUGAGGGAACGUGUCCAAAACCGCUCCGAUGCUCCGACCCGUUAUCGAAAUCCCGCCAGAAACUCACCAUGAAGACGCACUGUCCUUUUGCACCGGAAAAGCUCAAAAAGACAGGCCGUGCAUCGAUUCGCAAUCGGCUACAAAGAAACCCGUUGAAAAAAGCAACGGAGUCCCACCGUGUGAUAAUUGCGCCGCCACGGAGGUACCUGCUCCGUCUGAAUCCAGUCUCCAGGCCUCCUCAAAGCUGACACGUCGGAUAAAAAAAUCAAGCCUGAAAUGAGAGUGAAGCGUUUAUCUCAAAGACGUCGAAGCAAAGCGAAAGGUGUUUCUUCCUCGUGCUUCACUUGUCAUAAUCAUUUAACCUGCACUGUAAAAAUACAACUGCACAUUUUCCAGUUAACAAAACGUUUUCAGUCUCAAAUACUAACACAUUGUUUUCUUGAAACUGCAUUCUAGCUAGUCAUUGUAAAUGGUCAACAUGUGACCGACAUGUUUGCCUUGUUUUUGUUUCAGUUAAUUGCUUGCACUGCUUUCAUCUCGCUUGUGACUUUUUCAAGUAUUUUACUUCUUGAAACUACACAAAAACCCUUGUCAGACUGACAAAUGUACCCCAA
Cyprinus carpio carpio is the source of this 1195-nucleotide long non-coding RNA. NCBI's taxonomy places the organism in Eukaryota, Metazoa, Chordata, Actinopteri, Cypriniformes, Cyprinidae. The record is from Ensembl.